This 428-nucleotide ribosomal RNA is filed under the name uncultured bacterium. RNAcentral's name for it is "partial 16S ribosomal RNA". It matches the Rfam family "Bacterial small subunit ribosomal RNA", at positions 354 to 796 of the family's 1533-position model. The record is from RNAcentral.
GUGGGGAAUAUUGGGCAAUGGGGGCAACCCUGACCCAGCAACGCCGCGUGAGGGAAGAAGGUUUUCGGAUUGUAAACCUCUGUCCUAUGGGAAGAAGGCAGUGACGGUACCAUAGGAGGAAGCCCCGGCUAACUACGUGCCAGCAGCCGCGGUAAUACGUAGGGGGCGAGCGUUGUCCGGAAUUACUGGGCGUAAAGGGUGCGCAGGUGGCCUGACAAGUCAGAUGUGAAAUACCGAUGCUUAACGUCGGGGCUGCAUUUGAAACUAUGAGGCUGGAGUGCAGGAGAGGGAAGCGGAAUUCCUAGUGUAGCGGUGAAAUGCAUAGAUAUUAGGAGGAACACCAGUGGCGAAGGCGGCUUUCUGGACUGUAACUGACACUGAGGCACGAAAGCGUGGGGAGCAAACAGGAUUAGAUACCCCAGUAGUCC